UGACAGGCAGCCUGGAGUGGGGCGUCCGCGGUGGCGCUGCUGCUUCUUCCGGGCAAAAUCCUGCCGUCGCCUGCAAAACGCCCUUCGCUUGCCAGGUUCGGAGGCGCCUCCGUGGUGGCCCCGGGGAGCAUUCCGUAUUGGCCGUCCGAAGCUUCAGCGCGAAUGGUGGACUCCGCUGCAGGGCUGCUGUAGCGCAGACCAUUUCCCCACACCCGUCUCCCCGCGUGAAGCCAGCCAGGGCCAAGCUAGAAAGCGGGACUUCGUGCACGCUCCGACCAUUCGCUGUAUCUUUGGAGUUCAUUAUUCCUAAUUCUGAUGGCAUUUUCCUUCGCGAUAAGCCGAGAGGUCCUAGGAUGCCGGAUAUCCCUACACCUUAUUCCACAUUCUGGAAAGACGUAGCGGUGAAUAAGCUGGAGGAGGAUAAUUUAUCGGCACCCAUCCCAAUGGCCCUCUGUGACACUUUUAAGACUGAUUCAGGCUGUAUGUGCUUAUUUAAAAUGCUUCUAAGUUACCCAUUCCUGCAAAAAUCUGGAAUCCACCGCUCAGGGUCAACAGACACUGGUGUCAGUACAGUGGUACCUCGGGUUACGUACUUAAUUCGUUCUGGAGGUCCGUUCUUAACCUGAAACUGUUCUUAACCUGAAGCACCACUUUAGCUAAUGGGGCCUCUCGCUGCUGCCGCGCUGCUGGAGCACAAUUUCUGUUCUCAUCCUGAAGCAAAGUUCUUAAUCCGAGGUACUAUUUCUGGGUUAGCGGAGUCUGUAACCUGAAGCGUCUGUAAUUCGAGGUACCACUGUGUGUGUGUGUGUGUGUGUGUGUGUAUACUGUAUAUAUAUAGAACAAGUUGGUACAAAGUACAUCAGAACAAACAUUAUUCAAGUUUGGAAAAGAUCAACAUUGUAUAGUUUAAUACAGGAUAUAGUUCAGCACAAGGGGGAAGACAUAAAAAAAGGAAGGGAUUGACCUUUAUUAAUACAAUUUUCUUAUAACACUCCCCUUUGAGCUUGAACCAGGAUGUCUGUCAUCUCCCAUGCAUUCUUUCCACAUGAUGACCAUUGAAUCUUCUCCUGGUGAUGCCCCUCUUCAGCAGAAGUCUCUUAGUGAGCACACACCAAUUAAUUGACCCCCACCCCACCCCGCCUGCUGCUCCUGCCCUGGGACGUGCCCCUUUGCAGCCCAGAAUAGGCUCCCUGGCCCAGAAGGCAUCCCCCUCCUCACGGAGUUCUCCCCCGAACUUGACCCACUCCUCUGCCCCCUCAGCCCACCCUGCAGGACGCCAACCCUAGGAAUGCUCCCAUCCCUGCAGUGCAUUAUUCUGCUGCCUCCAUUGUCAGCAAGAGCAACCAGGUGAGUGAGGGACUUCUCAAGUUAUUUCCACUCUCCUUUAACUUGGGAGAAACUUUCACAGACCACUAUCUCAUCAGAUGCAUGAAGUCUAAUAAUCCUAUUAUUACCAUCAUUAUCACUACAUGUUACCUGUUAUAGGAAAAUCCUUGGGCUCACUUGGAUUACCAAGCAAAGACACCAGCCAGGAAUAUAGGACCAAAACAGCAGCCAGUAGGCCUGGUCUUUAUUCAAAUGACUUGUUGCAACAGGACUUCCACCCACCCCACAGAAGCAGCAGGAAGAAGCCCACAACAAAGGAUGGCUCCCACUUUUAUCAGUUUUACAAAGAUACCCACAACACCCCUAAAAUUACAUCAUCCAUACAUCACAAAUACAUCACACAUUGGGAGGGUCUGGCGACAGAAACCUGAGCAUCAGGUUCCUUCUCUUGACCUCCAACAUACACCCAUCAAGUGAUACAGAAGAGAUAUUUACAUGUCCUUGUUUCCCAACCAAGUUGAUCACACCCUUUUGUCUUGAUCUGGGUUUGCUAUUGCUUCUGGAAUUGCUACCUGUCUGGACUCAGGUAUUAGGAUGCCAGAGAUUAUCACUCAGGCAGAGGGGCUGCUGAGUACCUGAGCUCAGCAGAUUUAGGGAUUAUAGCUGCCCUCACUCAUGUCCCAAGCUCCCCCCUUGGUAGCCAUUUCCUUCCUGAACAGAACAACGUUGAAAAUUGGUGGUGUCGUGUGUUAUGUGGUGCUCUGAGGAGACAUUGCGUGUGUGAACAAAGGGGGGAUGCAUACUGCGUGCUGGAGGGGCAACCCCCCCCCCCAUCAUUAUAAAAAAUCCUGUAGUAAUGAGAAUUAUAAAAAACAUAUGGUGCUGUAAGAAAAGUAUAAAAUGCCGUGCCUUCCUUUUGUUCAGGGUUCUUUCUCCAUACCACAUUGGAUGAUUAGGAGCGAGAACCCCUGUUGCAACUGCGCUCUAUAUUUUGCAAUAAAGGAUCAGGCGUAACUGGUCCCUUCUUCGCCAUCCCUUUCGACCCAAGUGACAGAAUACUCAAGUAUGGGAACUGUUAAUACAAACUGACACCUAUCUCACCAUGGGACGGGCUUUCUUCAGUGGAACCGCCUCACUUGCCAUAACAGAACUUACAUUUUGUCUCAAUGGGGAAAGACUGUGAGACAUUUGGAUAGUGCUGAAGUAGGUAUGGGAUUGUGGGAGGGUUCCACCAAAGCUAUGAAUCUUGAACAUUGGACGUACGGCUUCACAUGCAUCUGCUCCGACACUGAUUCCGUCCUCCAAGGUGUUUGUGUUCAUUGCUUUGGUUGCAUUUGGGACGUUGGGAACGUAGGUGAGUGGAAAGGGAAACUUACCUAGAGGGCUGGCUGUAUACAAUGCAACCCCUGUUGCAACUGCACUCUGUAUUUUGCAAUAAAGGAUCAGGUGUAACCACUGCUGUGUUUUGAAUUCUAUCUGGUUGGUCUCUUGUCAUUUCAUCUCCAACCCGAGUAACCUCAUUAAUUAAUACAAUUUGAAUUGUUCUUAACAAUAAAUAUAACAAGGAAAGAGAAAAAAAGACCAAAUACAUCUUUUCCUUCUCAUGAAGGAGCCAAGGCUCUCUUUGAAACUAG
This 2960-nucleotide long non-coding RNA is filed under the name Podarcis lilfordi (Lilford's wall lizard). Lineage: Eukaryota; Metazoa; Chordata; Lepidosauria; Squamata; Lacertidae. The record is from RNAcentral.